This 1109-nucleotide long non-coding RNA is filed under the name Sus scrofa (pig). RNAcentral's name for it is "lncRNA (ENSSSCG00015043362.1)". Lineage: Eukaryota; Metazoa; Chordata; Mammalia; Artiodactyla; Suidae. The record is from RNAcentral.
AUGCUUAAUAUGCUGUCUUACAGGGUCUUCCAUUUAAGACUGCAGCUGGGCCUAUUAGCUCAGGGUAGGCUUGUCAUUUGGGAGCCUGGUAACCAGGAGAUGCCCUCUGGCCCAACUUCACUCCAUUUGCAAGGCCAGCUCACCUCGAGGUCACAAGAAGACUGCCCAAACUCCUGGACUACAUCCUCCGCUCUGGCUCUUUUGCCCUUGAAUUAUUCAUUCAACUUCAUUCAUCCACAUCUCUGGACAACGGGUAUCAUUGAAAGAACUAGGAAACUUCAUCCUCGCAAGUCUCCAGCAAUGUCUCCUUGAAGCUCAUUGGCCUGAACCAAUGUGUGUGGCCAGAGUAGGCUGAUUCCCAUUACUCUACAUCAUAUACCUCACCUCCUGAGUUGAUCCUCCAUGGCCUGCUCCUACCCAGGGCCUCUAAAAAAGGGAAGGAGAAAUGAUGCUGGGAAUAUUACCCACAAAAGUGGAUGGCAGUAGCUUACAGGAAGAAGGGCUUGCCCCUGUUGAUCAACAGUCCCUCGUCGACUUCCCAGAAACAAUGCCCAUGAUGGCAUAAGAAGGGGGCAGUGAGAGAGUAGGGGGAAGAGAACAAUCAUCAAAUUGUAGGCACAGUCUGUUGGAAUUUAGCAAGAGUUCUCUGGCUAACCCAAAGUGUCUGUGGGUGGAAAGUUAAAAAUCAUGUCCUGACAAGGCUGGCUGAGUCAUCCCCACCCCCAAAGCCUCCUCCCUGCUCCCCAUUGGUGAAGCGUUCUCUUCCACUCCUUUCUGAGAGCCUCAAACUCAGUUUUUAAUUUGUCUUAUGUUUAUCUGAACACUGGCUGGUACCUUCCCGCACAGUGAGGGAUGGCUCCCCCCGCAAAACACUUCCCCUGGUAGACCCCAACCCCCCCCCCUUCGCUACUUGGUCCUCAGUAGCGAAGGGACGGGCAUGCAAACAGAGAGGCUAAUGCUAGAGGACCCACGGCUCUUUUGCCCUUGAGUUAUUCAUUCAACUUCAUUCAUCCACUCAUUUUACAGGUAUUUACUGAGUGCCUACCAUGUACCAGGUGUUAUUCUAUGCACAGGGUCUACAGAGUUCAAUAAAAUUCUCAGAGUCUCCA